This 334-nucleotide ribosomal RNA is filed under the name uncultured Methylobacterium sp. Its description in RNAcentral is "bacterial SSU rRNA". It matches the Rfam family "Bacterial small subunit ribosomal RNA", at positions 1 to 359 of the family's 1533-position model. Lineage: Bacteria; Pseudomonadati; Pseudomonadota; Alphaproteobacteria; Hyphomicrobiales; Methylobacteriaceae. The record is from RNAcentral.
UUCGCCCUUAGAGUUUGAUCCUGGCUCAGAGCGAACGCUGGCGGCAGGCUUAACACAUGCAAGUCGAGCGGGCACCUUCGGGUGUCAGCGGCAGACGGGUGAGUAACACGUGGGAACGUGCCCUUCGGUUCGGAAUAACUCAGGGAAACUUGAGCUAAUACCGGAUACGCCCUUAUGGGGAAAGGUUUACCGCCGAAGGAUCGGCCCGCGUCUGAUUAGCUAGUUGGUGGGGUAACGGCCUACCAAGGCGACGAUCAGUAGCUGGUCUGAGAGGAUGAUCAGCCACACUGGGACUGAGACACAGCCCAGACUCCUACGGGAGGCAGCAGAAGGG